RNAcentral lists this ribosomal RNA (492 nucleotides) under uncultured bacterium. Its description in RNAcentral is "partial 16S ribosomal RNA". It matches the Rfam family "Bacterial small subunit ribosomal RNA", at positions 29 to 507 of the family's 1533-position model. The record is from RNAcentral.
AGUGAACGCUGGCGGUAGGCCUAACACAUGCAAGUCGAACGGCAGCACAGUAAGAGCUUGCUCUUACGGGUGGCGAGUGGCGGACGGGUGAGGAAUACAUCGGAAUCUACUUUUUCGUGGGGGAUAACGUAGGGAAACUUACGCUAAUACCGCAUACGACCUACGGGUGAAAGCAGGGGAUCUUCGGACCUUGCGCGAUUGAAUGAGCCGAUGUCGGAUUAGCUAGUUGGCGGGGUAAAGGCCCACCAAGGCGACGAUCCGUAGCUGGUCUGAGAGGAUGAUCAGCCACACUGGAACCGAGACACGGUCCAGACUCCUACGGGAGGCAGCAGUGGGGAAUAUUGGUCAAUGGGCGCAAGCCUGAUCCAGCCAUACCGCGUGGGUGAAGAAGGCCUUCGGGUUGUAAAGCCCUUUUGUUGGGAAAGAAAAGCAGCAGGUUAAUACCCCGCUGUUCUGACGGUACCCAAAGAAUAAGCACCGGCUAACUUCGUG